RNAcentral lists this ribosomal RNA (497 nucleotides) under uncultured bacterium. Its description in RNAcentral is "partial 16S ribosomal RNA". It matches the Rfam family "Bacterial small subunit ribosomal RNA", at positions 28 to 507 of the family's 1533-position model. The record is from RNAcentral.
GAUGAACGCUGGCGGCGUGCCUAAUACAUGCAAGUCGAGCGAACAGACGAGGAGCUUGCUCCUCUGACGUUAGCGGCGGACGGGUGAGUAACACGUGGAUAACCUACCUAUAAGACUGGGAUAACUUCGGGAAACCGGAGCUAAUACCGGGUAAUAUAUUGAACCGCAUGGUUCAAUAGUGAAAGACGGUUUUGCUGUCACUUAUAGAUGGGUCCGCGCCGCAUUAGCUAGUUGGUAAGGUAACGGCUUACCAAGGCAACGAUGCGUAGCCGACCUGAGAGGGUGAUCGGCCACACUGGAACUGAGACACGGUCCAGACUCCUACGGGAGGCAGCAGUAGGGAAUCUUCCGCAAUGGGCGAAAGCCUGACGGAGCAACGCCGCGGGAGUGAUGAAGGUCUUCGGAUCGUAAAACUCUGUUAUUAGGGAAGAACAAAUGUGUAAGUAACUAUGCACGUCUUGACGGUACCUAAUCAGAAAGCCACGGCUAACUACGUG